AACGAACGCUGGCGGCAGGCCUAACACAUGCAAGUCGAACGGGCACCUUCGGGUGUCAGUGGCAGACGGGUGAGUAACGCGUGGGAACCUACCCAGUGGUACGGAAUAACUCGGGGAAACCCGAGCUAAUACCGUAUACGCCCCGAGGGGGAAAGAUUUAUCGCCAUUGGAUGGGCCCGCGUCGGAUUAGCUGGUUGGUGAGGUAACAGCUCACCAAGGCGACGAUCCGUAGCUGGUCUGAGAGGAUGAUCAGCCACACUGGGACUGAGACACGGCCCAGACUCCUACGGGAGGCAGCAGUGGGGAAUAUUGGACAAUGGGCGAAAGCCUGAUCCAGCCAUGCCGCGUGAGUGAAGAAGGCCCUAGGGUUGUAAAGCUCUUUCGGCGGGGAAGAUAAUGACGGUACCCGCAGAAGAAGCCCCGGCUAACUCCGUGCCAGCAGCCGCGGUAAUACGGAGGGGGCUAGCGUUGUUCGGAAUUACUGGGCGUAAAGCGCACGUAGGCGGACUGCUAAGUCGGGGGU
RNAcentral lists this ribosomal RNA (523 nucleotides) under uncultured bacterium. RNAcentral's name for it is "bacterial SSU rRNA". It matches the Rfam family "Bacterial small subunit ribosomal RNA", at positions 28 to 595 of the family's 1533-position model. The record is from RNAcentral.